This 1845-nucleotide ribosomal RNA is filed under the name Triticum aestivum (bread wheat). RNAcentral describes it as "partial small subunit ribosomal RNA". Lineage: Eukaryota; Viridiplantae; Streptophyta; Magnoliopsida; Poales; Poaceae. The record is from RNAcentral.
AUGGCCCCCGGCGCGGCGGUCGCCGCCAAAUCCGAUGACGAGGACGACUACGAGGAGUAUAUCCCCGUCUCCAAGCGCAGGGCCAUGGAGGCCGACCGCCUCCGCCACCAGCGCCUCUCCAAGCCCGCCGCCGCCGCCUCCGCGGGCUCCCUCCCACCGCCUCCGCCCCCGCCGACGGCCAACCCCGCCGCCGCCCCCGAUGACGCUGCCCCCGCCGCCAAGCCCAGCCUCCUCGUCACGUCCACGCAGCUCAAGCGCGCGGCCCCGGAGGUCACCGCCACCGAGCAGAUCAUCCUGCAGGAGAAGGAGAUGAUCGACAACCUCUCCAACAAGAACACGCUCAUGUCCGUGCGGGAGCUCGCCAAAGGCAUCACCUACACCGAGCCGCUCCGCACCGGCUGGAAGCCGCCGCUGCGCCUCCGCCGCAUGCCGCGCAACAAGGCCGACGAGCUCCGCCGCAAGUGGCACAUCCUCGUCGAAGGCGACGAGAUCCCGCCGCCCGCCCGCGACUUCCUUGACCUCCGCUUCCCCGAGCCCAUCCUCCGGAUGCUCCGUGAGAAGGGCAUCGUGCAGCCCACGCCCAUCCAGGUGCAGGGGCUUCCCGUGGUGCUCUCCGGGCGCGACAUGAUCGGCAUCGCCUUCACCGGGUCCGGGAAGACUCUGGUGUUCGUGCUGCCCCUCAUCAUGGUGGCGCUGCAAGAGGAGAUGUUGAUGCCUAUUGUGCCUGGGGAGGGCCCGUUUGGCAUGAUCAUUUGCCCAUCACGGGAGCUGGCCAAGCAGACAUAUGAUGUCAUCGAUAUGUUCCUCACUCCACUCAAGCAGGCUGGAUUCCCAGAAAUACGGCCAUUGCUUUGCAUUGGGGGUAUAGACAUGAGGACACAACUCGAUGUGGUGAAGAAGGGCGUACAUAUUGUGGUCGCCACACCUGGACGGCUCAAGGAUCUUCUCGCCAAGAAGAAGAUGAACCUUGACAAUUGCAGGUAUUUAACUUUAGAUGAAGCUGAUAGGCUUGUUGAUCUUGGAUUUGAGGAUGACAUUCGGGAGGUUUUUGACCAUUUCAAGGCACAAAGGCAAACCCUUCUUUUUUCUGCCACUAUGCCCAAGAAGAUUCAGAACUUUGCAAAGAGCGCCCUUGUGAAGCCAGUAAUCGUCAAUGUUGGAAGAGCCGGGGCAGCGAAUCUUGAUGUCAUCCAAGAAGUUGAGUAUGUCAAGGAAGAUGCCAGAAUUAUAUACCUCCUUGAAUGCCUUCAAAAGACUCCACCUCCUGUUCUUAUAUUUUGUGAAAACAAAGCUGAUGUUGACUACAUCCAUGAGUAUCUUCUUCUAAAGGGUGUGGAAGCUGUUGCAAUCCACGGAGGCAAAGAUCAGGAGGAGAGACAGAAUGCGAUUGAGUUCUUCAAGAAUGGAAAGAAGGAUGUUUUGGUGGCUACUGAUGUUGCCUCAAAGGGUCUUGAUUUCCCUGAUAUCCAGCACGUGAUUAACUAUGACAUGCCUGCCGAAAUAGAGAACUAUGUCCACAGGAUUGGUCGAACCGGUCGAUGUGGGAAAACAGGAAUAGCAACUACGUUCAUCAACAAGAACCAGACAGAGACUACGCUUCUUGACCUCAAGCACCUGCUCAAGGAAGCGAAGCAAAGAAUACCACCAGUGCUUGCUGAGCUCGUUGAUCCGCUAGAGGAUGCUGAAGCUAUUGCCAAGGAGAGUGGUGUCAAAGGAUGUGCAUUCUGUGGUGGUCUUGGGCAUCGUCUUGCUGACUGUCCAAAGCUGGAGCACCAGAAGUCUGUGGCGAUCGCCGGCUCCAGAAGAGAUUACUACGGCGGUGGAGGUUACCGAGGAGAAAUAUGA